UGGGCUUGACAUGCUUGGAUUAUCCCUGUGAAAGCAGGGUAGGCCCUUCGGGGUACAACAAGUACAGGUGCUGCAUGGCUGUCGUCAGCUCGUGUCGUGAGAUGUCGGGUUAAGUCCCAUAACGAGCGAAACCUUUGCCCUUAGUUACCAGCGGGUUAAGCCGGGGACUCUAAGGGGACUGCCGGUGUCAAACCGGAGGAAGGUGGAGAUGACGUCAAGUCCUCAUGGCCUUUAUGCCCAGGGCCACACACGUGCUACAAUGGCGUCGACAAAGCGAGCCUAAAGCGCAAGCUGGUGGAAAACGCAAAAAUGACGCCCCAGUUCAGAUCGGAGGCUGCAACUCGCCUCCGUGAAGUUGGAAUCGCUAGUAAUCGCGGAUCAGCUACGCCGCGGUGAAUGUGUUCCUGAGCC
RNAcentral lists this ribosomal RNA (411 nucleotides) under uncultured bacterium. Its description in RNAcentral is "bacterial SSU rRNA". It matches the Rfam family "Bacterial small subunit ribosomal RNA", at positions 976 to 1380 of the family's 1533-position model. The record is from RNAcentral.